Long non-coding RNA from Cercocebus atys (sooty mangabey), 2230 nucleotides. RefSeq lists it as uncharacterized. Lineage: Eukaryota; Metazoa; Chordata; Mammalia; Primates; Cercopithecidae. The transcript has 4 exons. The record is from RefSeq and is a predicted model, not a curated record.
GAAAUUUAGUCUCAAUGACUAUGAUUUUUUUAAAAAAUCUUGAUUUGGAGUAAUACCAUGCAUUUUAAUAUACAGGUGUAGAAUACAUGUUCCAGAUAGUGUGCUGCAAUGGUUAUUUUUCAUGUGAACACACACACGUUUUCUUAGGUUAUAGUGUCAGUUUGGGUCCCCUGAGAUGCAAAAGCCAGGCUAACAUUAGAUGAUCAAAAGAAUCUUGAGGAAACACCUGUGAAGGUGAAGCAGGCAGCAGAAGACACAAAGAACCUUCAGAACACAAUUCAACCCUGAUAGCUGUUGAAAUAAGAGAAAAAAGAAAGAAAUGGGAAUCAGUGCCUUGGGUUACAAUACAGGUCUCUGAAUAUUUUGGACCAACCAAUUAGUGGAGAGUUUGAAGCAGAAGUUCAUUCAAGGAAUUCCAUUGUGUGUAUUGCUGGACUCUGUAAUCUCCUCCCUUGCCACAAAUAAAUUAAAAUUAUGAACAAAUAUGUUUCUUCAAGAGCUCAUCUGAAAAAAAAUGUUGGCGUGACUACAUAAGAAUCACCUAAGACUGUUUGCCGCUGCUUGCAUCUCCUCCGUUCAAACACAGGGGUAAUGUAUAUUUGACAAAUGUACAAGACUUUUUUGUCUAAGAAAAAAGGAAAAUAAAACUCUUUCUCCAAAAGGAAGAAAAAAAUUGGCAUCAGAAAAUAACAUUUUGCUGUGACUACAUAUUCAAAAUGGAAAUGAAGUUAUUAGCUUAUUCAGGACAAGAACUUGGAACUUAUUGAGCUGUGGGCGGCUGGAUUGAAAGAGCUGUAACACACUCCUGCUCGCCAGACUACAAGAGAGAGCUAUAACAUGCUCUGGGUGAGCUACGAGAGUGAAGAGCUGCAACUUUUCUUGGGGGUUCAAACCUUGGGACUCCCCAAGCAAGAGCUGUAACACCCCUUGGGGCUCGGCGAUUGCUGAUUGCUGGCAUCUCUGAGGUUUUGGGCACCAACACCUUCCCCUAUUUUAGACUCUGCCCUGUGCAGAAGCCACUCAAAGCAUGCCUGAUUCAGCCUCAAGCUGAGCAUAGAGCCAAGGCAGUCAAGGGAUCCGGCCCAGGGAGUGAACUGACUGCAGGCUGCUGGGCUGAGCAGACAGAGCAAGUCCAGGUGGCCCUAGAAAGGCCAGGGCAGAGGCAGUGGCGGCCACAGAGAUUUCCAGCUGGCAAAGUGGCACCAAAGGAAUCCUGUAACAAUAUGAGACCCACCAUAGUCAUCUUUUCUUUUCUUUUCUUUUCUUUUUUCUUUUGUUUUCUUCUUAUCUGCCAGGACAAUUGGGCAUGAUACAGAUGAGGGCUGUUCUAUCGUUUUUUUGUUACAGAGUAAUGAUGACAGAGAAAAGAGUCAGCUGACCAACAAUGAAAACACAGCCAGGGCAGAAAAUAAACCUUUGUGGCAAGUGACUGAAUUUUGUUGUUAUUACAGAAGUAUUGCCUAAUAACUUCCAACUAAAACAAUACUGCAGAUAUGAUUCUUCUGAUUUAUGACUUUUGCCUGAACGAUAUUAUGGUUGUUUAAAAUAAUUCACUUGGGGGACACGUGCAGUCAUUAUAUAAAAGCAAGUUGUGUAUAGAGAUCUCAUUUUGUGACAUAAUAGUUGCAUAAAAUGAGAAAACUCUAAAAGUUUUGUUAUACUGUACUCAGUUUCAUAAUCGUAAAUAAAUAAUGUUUUUCACAAUGUUAUUGUUAUGAUGAUGGAAGAUAAUUAAUUAUUUUCUUGUAUAUAGAAACACCUAACCACAUUAGGCAAUACAGUAAAGCCUACUGAAUAUGUCAAAAUAAGUACUUCUUAUUUGUCACCAACCAUCUAUUUGAAUAAAUAUGGCCAGUCAUGAAACAGAUAAAUUGAAAUAUCAUGAAUAUUACUGCAUACAAUAUUUGUUACAUAUUUCAUCCUGUUUUUCCACAAAGGUAUAAACUAAUAUAAAUCUGGCACAGUCAAUACAUUUUCUCAAAUGUUAAAGUAUUUAUUUAUCCUUGUAGAGCAUUUGAAUAUAAAGUUCCUUCUCAUUUCCUGAGUUCUUCACUAUGAUGCAUUUACAAAACAAUUACUGUCAAAAGCUUCAUCUGACAAGAGUGACUUGGAGUGGUAAAAUUCUGCUACAAUAUUUAUUUAAUGAUCUCUGACACCUACUCAGAGCAAGUGUUUUGGAAUAUCCCAACACUUGCUUUUGAAUCUCCCAGACUGAAGUCUGACACUUAUU